UCGGGUAUGGUGUAGCGGUAACAUCGCUGACUCUCAUGGUCUUUGAUCUUGAAGUGUCUCAGCAGCCCGGGGUUCGACUCCCCGUAUCCGAG
This is a non-coding RNA of Echria macrotheca, 92 nucleotides long. The record is from the annotation of a GenBank genome assembly. NCBI's taxonomy places the organism in Eukaryota, Fungi, Ascomycota, Sordariomycetes, Sordariales, Schizotheciaceae.